Molecule: long non-coding RNA, 6434 nt
Organism: Betta splendens (Siamese fighting fish)
Lineage: Eukaryota; Metazoa; Chordata; Actinopteri; Anabantiformes; Osphronemidae
Exons: 2
Source: RefSeq, a predicted model, not a curated record
UGGGAAAAAUUGUCUGUUCCUUAUUUCUAUGUGUCUUCCUUAUUUCUAUGCAGUUAUUAUACGAGUUAUGACUUAUGUUCUGCAAUUAAUAUCUUAUGUUUUGUCUUACUGUAUGCAUUUGACAUUUCACCUAGAUUGUUCAAUGGUUGUCUCUGCCUGAUAGACUCUCAACUCUAGCUCCCAAACCCAAGGUCGGGGAGUUGUGUCUCUGUCUGUUGAGACUUGGUGCUCCUUUCUCACAGAUAGUUGGACGUCAGCGAUGCAGGUGUGAGAAAGUAAAAAUCUUCACACACACUGCGACAGGGAGGAGAUGGUGCAUGUAAUUUGAUUGGGUUGGAAAGACAUUCCACCCUAGUCAGACAGAGAAGCUAAAAGGCAGAAGCAACUUGAGGAUCGUGGGCUCUUUGCAUCACACCUUCGUGGUGUGUGCACUGAUCUCCCCAGCUGGUUUUUGGUUUGUUGAUGUGCACGAUCAACAUCCAUGCUUUUUAUUUGCUUUCCCCAUUAUUUUUAUUUUCUUUAUUAUUUCAAUAAAUCGCACAAAAGGACAACACUCUCUCAUCUGCUUCUUUGUGGAAAAUUUCCACCACAGAAAUUGGCGUUGUCGGCAGGACCCCGCGGCAGGUCGUCUGGACGGUGUGACCAGGGACGAUAGUCCUGAGGACUAGGGUCGCUCAGCCUCCAAACCUCUACAGACAUUCAGAGCUGGGAGGACUGCUCACCCGUCUGGAUCGCCUCUGACGAGAUCCACGAACUCAGAUUCAAACUCAAAUCCUAAUUUGGCUCGGCUCGGUGAGAGAGAUUCCUUUUGAUUUGGGAAAAACAAAAGGAUUGGAACUUUUAUUUUUAAUUUAGCUGAAACAUUUCAAUUGGUUGAAAAAAAAAGGGAAAGAAAUCUUCUAUUUGGUUGAAACACUAAAUUUGAAAAAGGAAAAUUAAUUAGAUCGAGAAAAAGAGAAAAAAAAAAUCCCAAUAUUACAUGUUCUUAAUUAGGUGAAAGUCUGCUCUGGGUGGUGAGACGUCGGUUGCUAAGGGUUGGCUCGUGGAACCGAGCUUCCGUCUGUACUGAGGAUACAGACAUGUUUUUUUGAUCUGUGCGUGGUCCACACGUGGGGGACUGAGUAUAAAAGACGGCUUCUGAAAGAGGGAGUGCGUUCGCAGAGUGAAGUAUUUUCAAGAUACGAGGGACCCGGGCCUAGAGGGGCCUAACGUUGAGGAAAUACUUCGGGAAAGGCUCUGUCGCCAGAUCAGAACUGAGCGCGAUGAGGGUAAAUCCGGAUCUGGACUCCUUUCCCACCAUCAGCAGAAGAACCGAAGGAGAAGAAGCGCCGACCAACAACCAGAACGGGGUGGAAGCUCUGACACCACAGCAGCUGGAGGACACAGACCACAGCAUGGAGGCCUCACAGACUCCACAACGUCUGCAGCCAUCACGUUCUGGGCUCAUCAGAUGAACCAGCUACUACAAGCGUGUGUGUCUGACACAGACAUCUGCUUAUGACUGUAAUAGGUAAUCAGCAAAGGAAAACAAGGACAGAGCAACAGCAGAGAAGACGUGCUCUGACACAGACACUGGUUGAAACAACAGGAGAGGCUUCAGACGUGAUCGGCCCAAUAGAGCUGCAUGCGAGGAUCCAGGAAAGGUCUGUCAUCGAGGAACAACUGUCCCAUUGAAAGGCUUCACCCGCUGGCGCUCACAUCAGACUGAUGGUUGGGGAAGGAGGAAGGUGACGGUUCCUUUUCACGUGACGUACAAGACGGUACCGCAAACACACACACAUUCAUACACGCAAUGAAGAAACACGCUUACAGCUGAUACACGCUCAAAUUCAUGUUCAUGCUUAUCUGCUCGCAAUGAAGAAUCGCUUUUUGCUUAAAAAAAAUCCCACAGAGUGAUUUUAAAAUGAUGACAAACAGCUAAAUGACAACUGCUGCAUGACUUUACAGUCUGAUGGGUUCAAACUAUUUUAACUUGCAACAAAUUCAGUAAUAAAAUCCUCUACGUUUCUAAAAGGGUUUGUGCACAAUAUAGGUUUGUCUGGCCAGACUAGAAGACUAUAGGAAACAAAACAGACGGUAGAAAAACAAAACAGACUGUAGAAAAAAAACAAAAAAACAGACUAUAGGAAGACUGAGACUGACUGAAACAGACUAUUAAUGACUAUUAAAGGGAAGACGACUAUUAGAGAGAAGUAAUAAUAAUUACUGUACGUACCAGACUAUUAAAGAAAAACUUAUUCUUUCACUGUCUUGUGCAACAUCUGACAGCAAGACACCUUAACAUUCAUUUUUGCUUUCAAACUUGUGCCCAGUUAAAUUUUUAGGAAGAGAUCUCAUGUAGUUUAGGUAUUUAAUUGAUUUCCACUCCAGACGGAGUGCAGGUUACAUCUACAGACAUUCUAAAUAAUCCCUCUUUUGUUGCUGUUAACUUCAGCUCAGCUGUGCUCUUAUCAUUGGCUGCUGAGGGGGGGCUGUAACUGAGGCCCUCACACAGGCUGCAUCACAGCUUGUUUAUGAUUUCACACACACACACUCAAACUGACCUCAACUUCAUUCUUUUGGGAUGAACACAGGUCUGCGCUUGCGAUUUCUUUUACUAACGAACAAAAAAGAUUUUUAUUUUUAUUCUACAGUUCCACACGUCCCUCUGUGAAAACAUGAUGGAGACAGAUGCAGGACGUGGGUCCUUUCCUGAACAGAUGUCAACGGGGUGGAGACUGGUGAACGACUUCCGACCCCAUGUGACGUAUUCACCUACUUUGCAUACUUUUAGAAAACCUUUCUUUUAUAUUCUGCCUGUCAUGUGCAGCAAACAGUGAACUGGGUACCUCCACACUCUAAUGACACACAUUACACGCUUUCGUUUUUAUUUUUAUUUCAGAGGACGCUCUGACCCAACACUCAGCCUUACAGGAAGCCCUGCUUCCCUGUGGCUCACACACAGACAUGAUGUAGGUUUGAUCAGAGGAUGUGAACCAGUGGUCAUCACACCUAAAUCUGACCACAAACCAUGUAAACAACAUCACCCUCUGGAAGAAGCCAUAGAUGGCGUUACUGCAGACACCACUAAGCUACUGAAUCAUUGGAUGCUACAGGCCACAAAGAGAGCCUGUCUAAAUUACAGUUUGUUCAGACAAAGGUUAUUUUCUGGGUCAUUGUAAUUAUAGCUGAUGGCAAAUCCAUCUCACCCAACAGAGUUGAAGCAAUUUGAAACCUGCCUAAACCGUGCACGUAUAAACAGCUUAUCUUUUCUAGGUUUUCGUUUUUAUUGUAGGAACUUCAUUCUUAACUUUAAUGUCUUUGAGGCCCCACUCAGGGUUCUGAUGCAGACAUCUUCAUCGUCCACUUCUUGUCUCACGUGGACGUCUGAGGCUGAACAACGUUCACCGACCUCAUGCUUGCUCUUCAGUUGGCUCCUACCUUGGGUCUUCCUGAUCUGACCCUAUGCGACCUUUCACUCAAACAGUGGAUGAGAGAUCAGGUUGUACGACUUCUGUUCUUUGUCCUCAUACUGUGUCUUUGAUUCUUUUGGAAAACAUCACAUCUUUCUACAGCCCGAUGGCUUAGAUGCAACACCACCUUACUCAACAUGCUGAACGUUACUAUCAAGAGGCCGUCUUGAAGUCUGGCUCUUUGCUAAGACACUACUCUGCUCAGGCUGCAGAGUUGAUCACAUUGACUGAAGCUAGUAAACGAGCAGAAGGAGAGUCUGUUACCAUCUACACGGACUCCACAGACGCUCUGUGGAAGCAUAGGAAGCUUUGAAGUCUGAUUGCAAACCUAUCUUACAUCAUGAUAAGGUUCUGCUUUGCUGGACGCUGUCCUGCUGCCUACAGCUAAUGCUGUUUGUAACUGUCCAACAUCAGUGACGACUUUGUUUCUGCCGACAUGCAGCUGCAGACGCUGCUCCGAAGGUCGCUGCCCAACAACCCCUCCCUCUCCUGAUCCUCGUUUCCUCUUGUUCCCUCUCCAACUCUCUCUAUCCUUUCCUUCCUCAUCUCCCUGUGCUUUAAACAUUUUCUACCUCACAGGAACGCAGACUCUGGCUGACGCAUGGUUCCACCUGUAGCCAUGGAGUCUGGUUUGGGCCUGAUGGCAGCCGUGCCGCCCAAACACCUUUUCCCCAUAAUUCAGAUUUCCCAACAGGUGAAAGCAGGCGACAGGACCAUUACACCAUCCAACCAGGGCACUGGGUGAUCGUUAAGGAGUUCAGGAGGAAGCACUGGGACUCCAAACGGUGGCGAGGCCACUUCCAGGUCCUUCUGACGACCCACACGGCUGUAAAGAUCGCAGAGAGAGCGACUUGGAUCCACUCCACUGCAAGAAGGUCCCGGAUCCAACAGACGACCCUCCAUCUACAUCUACACCACACAAGAAAACCACCACUGACAUAAAGAAUUGAGAAGGACGACCCUCGCUGUGCUCACACACGCACUGAGGCGAGGCUGCGUUGACCGUUCAGCUAAAGGUGUGAGCCAAGCGCCGCCUGAAGCUGCACCGGUGAAUCACACUAUCAGACCAUACAUCUACACACACGCUCCUGAGAAAACACACACACGAGCAGCCUUGAGUUGCCGACGCUGGACAACGUGUAGACUCUUCACAUCACGGGAGUGACAGUGACUCAGACGACAUUGGGAGGAAACCUGGCGGUGAUAACAAAUCCCAAGUGUCUCUGUGAUCAGCUGAUCACAACCUGAAGAACCCCAACGAACAAUCAAUACUUCAACACACAGGUUGGAAACAAUCUAACGCUACUGUUCAACAGGACGAAGCAGAUUGUUACAAGACAUCAAUUGUAACCUCGUUGCGUUAGACAUUUUAUGUUACUCUGAUUAUUGCCUUGAUCAUAUGAUGUUUUCAUGUAACUUUGCACACUACUUUUGAAUGAGAAAAUUUCACAUAAUUCACAACACUGAGUUUAAAUAUCCUAAAGUUGACUUGGUGUUUAAUUUGCUCACAAUCACUUUAUUCACUGCUACAAUUAGUUCUAUCCUUCAUCUACAGAUGAAAGACAACACAAGCGGAAAAACGCAUCAUCAUUCUGGUUAAAUCCCUGAAUCUCCUAUUCGCUCUAGACGCAAAUGUACAAUUAAAGAUCCGAAAGCAUUAAAUCUAUCUUAAGAAUAUAUGAAACAGAACCCCACCGGAAACCUAUGGCUAUCGUACAUUAAUUAUCUUUAUUACAUUACAAUUGAAUGGCCGUAGACACGUUGUUAGCAGAGAAAAGAGGCGUUUGUGUUAUGUUUGGAGAGGCAUGUUGUACUUACAUCCUGAAUAACACUGAUUCUAAUGGUAUUGUGGCGAAGGCGCUACACGGCCUUCAGAAUCUCAGCUAACUCUGGUAUAGGUUCUUCCUCUUGGAAUUGGCUAGACGAAAUGUCUGGAAAAUGGAAAUCUGUUCUCAUGUCCGCAGCUGUUUCCUUUAUCAUUGAGAUGGCUGUGAUUCUCUUGUUUGGUUUUUGCGUUAUCCCACUGGUUAGAGGUCUCAUCAUGCGUGCGACCUCAGCAACACUCUCGUAUGAGAUGACACAAUGCACUAUGUUCAAAAACCCCAACUCUAAUUCACUUAAUGACUUUGACAAUGGUCUUAGGCUAUCUGAUCACAAAAUAUAAUCUGAUACAAAUAUGAUUAUGAGCUUAUUUUCUUCACAUGCCGAUACAGAGGUUAUUCUUGUUUAACUACCCACCAAAAACAGCUCCCAACCUUUUGUCCCUUAGUUACUUCCAUUUUAUGUGAAGGUGUAUUUUGAAUCUUGAUGAGUUAAUACCCUUAUUGUUUCAUUUGCAAGGAUCUUUUAUUAUUACAGAAUAUGAUGUUGACAAUUUUUAUUCCUUUAUGGUUUGAUUAAUGUGUAAUCAAAAGGGGGGAGUGUUAUGGGAAAAAUUGUCUGUUCCUUAUUUCUAUGUGUCUUCCUUAUUUCUAUGCAGUUAUUAUACGAGUUAUGACUUAUGUUCUGUAAUUAAUAUCUUAUGUUUUGUCUUACUGUAUGCAUUUGACAUUUCACCUAGAUUGUUCAAUGGUUGUCUCUGCCUGAUAGACUCUCAACUCUAGCUCCCAAACCCAAGGUCGGGGAGUUGUGUCUCUGUCUGUUGAGACUUGGUGCUCCUUUCUCACAGAUAGUUGGACGUCAGCGAUGCAGGUGUGAGAAAGUAAAAAUCUUCACACACACUGCGACAGGGAGGAGAUGGUGCAUGUAAUUUGAUUGGGUUGGAAAGACAUUCCACCCUAGUCAGACAGAGAAGCUAAAAGGCAGAAGCAACUUGAGGAUCGUGGGCUCUUUGCAUCACACCUUCGUGGUGUGUGCACUGAUCUCCCCAGCUGGUUUUUGGUUUGUUGAUGUGCACGAUCAACAUCCAUGCUUUUUAUUUGCUUUCCCCAUUAUUUUUAUUUUCUUUAUUAUUUCAAUAAAUCGCACAAAAGGACAACACUC